Molecule: non-coding RNA, 3579 nt
Organism: Delphinapterus leucas (beluga whale)
Lineage: Eukaryota; Metazoa; Chordata; Mammalia; Artiodactyla; Monodontidae
Source: RefSeq, a predicted model, not a curated record
UGAGAAGUCUGAAAUCAAGGUGUCAGCAGUGCCGUGCUCCCUCUAAAGGCUCGAGGGGAGGAUCCUUACUUGCCUCUUCCAGCUACUAGUAUUUUGAUGGGUGGGGUUGCAUGCGGCUGGUGUAGAGAGUGUACAGCCGGGAGGCCUAAUCUGGUCAAGAGGAGUGUAAGGAAACAUUUAGCCCGAGUCCUAAGGCAAGGGGACCCUUACUAGAUGAGGAUGGGGGUACUAAUCAAGGAGGAGAAAGUGAUGUGAGGGAAGUGCCCUAAGGCAAGAAGAGCUUACAGAGUGAAAGAGAGAGUGAUAUGAGAUCAGGUAGAGAGAAGGGUGGACAUGGUGCCAGCCCCGAUUAAGCUACAGGUGUGAGAUUAAGACGGGGGGAGUCAAUGUCGGGGUUUGGGCAGGGACGUGACCUGGUCUGACUUGCAUUUGAGAGAGACCCUCAAAUGGAAGAGAGGAGAACGAGCUGGAGCCAGCCCUAGGAUCUCAAGGAGACCUGUCAGGAAGCCAACACACAGUGAUACGUAGACCUUCUGGCUGGGAUGCUGGUCAGUCCAAUUACCUUCCUCCUGGAAUUAGCGAUGAAGUGGGAAAAUAAUCCAGGAGAAAAGGUCAAGGAAGGCACAGUAAAUUUGCUUUCAUCCAAGACAUCCCGAGUCAUUCUGGCUUAUUCUCAAAGUCAGUCACAGAAUCAUUUCCUCGCCUGCCCUUGAGCACAUCCUAGCUUCUGGUGGGCCCUAAACCGAAUGACCUGCGCAGGGGUGGGUGCUCUAGCCAGGGAGGAACUGUGGAAGAGUCAGACCCUGUAAAGCGAUCGCGUCAACUCCAGGACGUGCAGCUGUCAGCAACCUGGUGCCUGAUAAGCUUUCCUGGACAUCAGAUGGCUGUGAGAGAACAUUUUGAUGAAUUAAGUAAAAAAAAUGAAUCAUAAACAUGUGGAACAUGUUUUUCACUGCGCUCGAGAUUUAAAACUUACAAGGAAAGGUAUUUGGCCGUGUUUGCCAAAACCAAGAAGCAUUUGAAAGCCAGCCAGCCGAAGACACUUCAUGGAGACCGGCUGGGUUUGCUCAGCUUUGCUCAUAAAGAGGGUCCAUAAAGAAAUCACUCCAGCUCUACUAGUGCCGUCAGCCCCUGGUGGCUGACGCUUCCUUAGGAAGGAAUGACUAAGAGAAUUCGGUCGUGUCUUCCUACCGGGUCCGAAGGCCAGGAAGAUGCCCCGCAUGUCCCUGAGCUCGUUGUCGUAUCCGUGCCAUCCGCGCUGCCAGCCUUGCCUCUUGUCAGUGCUGUUCAUCCAGAAUGGAAGCGUCUCUCGAUUCUGCAAUCAAGCAAAAGGCAUUUACAUCGCCCCGUGUCCAGACAUCCGGACGACUGAGCAUCCGGUCCAAACUGCCACCCAGUGGACUUCCUGCUCAGAGGUCUCAGUCAGGGUCAUCCAACCUCAGCUGGAUCACUUCCUACUCCAGUACAGCACGGAAGCCCCGAGGCAGCCGGCUUCCCACAAGCCCAGGGGCGCCCACUGCAGGAACCACCCGUCCUCCUUUCUUCCAGCUCCACCCCGGGGGGUGACUCGGAACAUAUUAGUCCCCUCCUCUCCAUUUAGUCAACAUUUGAAGAUAGCACCCGUGUUCCUCUGCGCCAGGCCUUGGUGUCUUCACUUUCUUCGACCAUUCUUCACUGAGGAUGGCUUCCAGAACUAUCACUGCCCUGUCACCCUUCUUUCCUGCAAAACUAAAUUUUCUUAGACUGCAGCUGCUUACUCGAGAGACAACAAGCUUAAAGAAGGUUUUGCAAAUCCUAAGGAGGCUGCAGCCAGUUGGACACAACCUGAGCCCUCCUUGGCGGACUAAGCCUUCAUUUCCGAUAUUCUAGUCAUCUUGCUCAGCACAGGGUUUAAUAUUACAAGUUUUCCAAAUGCAGGAGGUAGAACUGACUACCUCCUGGAAGCAGAAGAGCUCAAGGACCAGGGAUUUACAGGUUGUCUCACAAGACUCGUAACAACACGUGUAUUUUGUGUGCUGUACGGUUCACCAAGAGCCUCCCCCAACGUGCACUUAAUCAUCACCACCUCCCACUGUGGAUGGUAUUAUUUUUCCUACCUUGGCAUAGAGAGGUUAAGUGACACUUUUAAAGUCACACAGCUGUUGAGAGGCAGGGCUGGGAUUGGAAUGCAGGUCGACAGUCUCCUGGUCUUCAUGUGCCUUCCAGGACCCCAUAGCCAGAGGUCGCUGCAGGGCUCCUGCCAGCACAGGACAGUGGGCUGUCCCUGUCCCUUGCCUCUUCACUCACUGAGUGGUGGCCAGUUCAGAGUAUGGAGAUAAGAUUUUGGAAUAGGAUGUGGGUUGAAUUCCAGUUUGCCACUUUCCAGCUCUGUGAUCCUGGGCAAGCUGCGUAACUUCUCCAUGCUUCAGCUUCCUUGCUGGAUGUGAUACUACCUGCCUCACAGAGAUUCUGGAGGAUAACCCGGCUGUGCGCUAAGCCCGAAACACAGUAGGUGCUCGAUAAAUGGCUGGGGAUGGUCAGCAGAUGCCACUGGCUGCGGGGCGAGGCGCUCGGGUACUGUGCGGCAGGGUCGAACCCUCCUUUGCUUAUUUAGCUGUCACAUCGCAUUGCACACCCAUCCAGUCUCACCCCAUAAAUCACUCCCUGGCUUUACCGCUUUCCAAAUCACACUGUUUCAUUGACUCUCUGUUUCCUGAAUUGCCAUCAUCCCCUAUCCCGCCUUCUCCAGCUGUAGCUUGUAGUUUUCAAUGGGAAUAUAUUUAUUAACUUACUGCAUUUCUGACUUAUACCGUUUUUUGUUCUUUGUCUGUGGUGAUGCUCACAACACAUCCCAAUUUAGCUUCGUUCGCUAAUGUCACACGCUGCUCCCCCCCCCCCCAGUCUUUAGUGAUUCCUGAAGAACUAGGUAGAACAUAUCACUGGUGAUGUCACUAAUCAUGAACCCCAUGGGACAUAUGUGUCCCAUGACCAAGGGACAGGUGGAAGAGAGAUGAGGACUGAUUGCCUGAUUUUAAAAUUCCAGCUUAAACAACUACAAACAUACAGCAACAAAAAAUCUCAGCCCUGAAGGUAACUGGGGAUCGGUCUGAUCAUAGGUCAAUCCACCAGUUCUUAUUAACACGACAGGUUGCUCCAGUGAAACAACUAUUCUUACUGAUUUUAAAAAGUAAUAGUAAACUGGCUGGUUAUGUGAGAAGCGAAGUGAUUGAACGGAUUACAUGACAUAAUCUAAUGACAUUAUGUAAUUAACCUCAAGAAGGUGCAGGGAUGAUUUCCUUCCUCAUCCCCUCCCGGUGGCUUUCACCAUUUCACUGGGCUCUGUAUCCCCACAUCAGCAUCCCAGCGCAGGCCUGUGCAGCCGUGUGACACAUACCACACAGGGGCAGCCCUUUAGGUGAAGCACCCCAGACCUCAGUCCCCAGGCAGGGGGUCCUCAAGCUACUGGUUGAGCCUCACCCCUCCUGACCCUACCAGGCCCAGGGGCUGCCACACAGCACCGCCUAGUGACAUCCUGGGGAGGUGCCCGAACCCUGCAGGAGAGCGAGGGUAGAGGGGUCUGUGUGUGAGCGUGAGUGUGUG